AGCGGCGGACGGGUGAGUAACGCGUGGGUAACCUGCCCUGUACACACGGAUAACAUACCGAAAGGUAUGCUAAUACGAGAUAAUAUACUUUUAUCGCAUGAUAGAAGUAUCAAAGCUCCGGCGGUACAGGAUGGACCCGCGUCUGAUUAGCUAGUUGGUAAGGUAACGGCUUACCAAGGCGACGAUCAGUAGCCGACCUGAGAGGGUGAUCGGCCACAUUGGAACUGAGACACGGUCCAAACUCCUACGGGAGGCAGCAGUGGGGAAUAUUGCACAAUGGGCGAAAGCCUGAUGCAGCAACGCCGCGUGAGCGAUGAAGGCCUUCGGGUCGUAAAGCUCUGUCCUCAAGGAAGAUAAUGACGGUACUUGAGGAGGAAGCCCCGGCUAACUACGUGCCAGCAGCCGCGGUAAUACGUAGGGGGCUAGCGUUAUCCGGAAUUACUGGGCGUAAAGGGUGCGUAGGUGGUUUCUUAAGUCAGAGGUGAAAGGCUACGGCUCAACCGUAGUAAGCCUUUGAAACUGGGAAACUUGAGUGCAGGAGAGGAGAGUGGAAUUCCUAGUGUAGCGGUGAAAUGCGUAGAUAUUAGGAGGAACACCAGUUGCGAAGGCGGCUCUCUGGACUGUAACUGACACUGAGGCACGAAAGCGUGGGGAGCAAACAGGAUUAGAUACCCUGGUAGUCCACGCCGUAAACGAUGAGUACUAGCUGU
RNAcentral lists this ribosomal RNA (710 nucleotides) under uncultured bacterium. RNAcentral's name for it is "bacterial SSU rRNA". It matches the Rfam family "Bacterial small subunit ribosomal RNA", at positions 94 to 823 of the family's 1533-position model. The record is from RNAcentral.